AACGUAGGACGCAAGCGUUAUCCGGAGUUACUGGGCGUAAAGCGCGGGCAGGCGGUUCUGCCAGUCUGAUGUGAAAUCUCCUCGCUCAACGGGGAGCAGCCAUUGGAAACUACAGAACUGGAGUCUGGCAGAGGUAGGCGGAAUUCCGGGUGGAGUGGUGAAAUUCGUAGAUAUCGGGAGGAACACCUGUGGCGAAAGCGGCGCACUGGACCACAACUGACGCUGAGGCGCGAAAGCUAGGGGAGCAAACAGG
RNAcentral lists this ribosomal RNA (253 nucleotides) under uncultured bacterium. Its description in RNAcentral is "partial 16S ribosomal RNA". It matches the Rfam family "Bacterial small subunit ribosomal RNA", at positions 524 to 776 of the family's 1533-position model. The record is from RNAcentral.